AAGUGGCGGACGGGUGAGUAACGCGUGAGGAACCUGCCUUGAAGAGGGGGACAACAGUUGGAAACGACUGCUAAUACCGCAUGAAGCAUAGGGGUCGCAUGAUUCUUAUGCCAAAGAUUUAUCGCUUCAAGAUGGCCUCGCGUCUGAUUAGCUAGUUGGCGGGGUAACGGCCCACCAAGGCGACGAUCAGUAGCCGGACUGAGAGGUUGAACGGCCACAUUGGGACUGAGAUACGGCCCAGACUCCUACGGGAGGCAGCAGUGGGGAAUAUUGGGCAAUGGGCGCAAGCCUGACCCAGCAACGCCGCGUGAAGGAAGAAGGCUUUCGGGUUGUAAACUUCUUUUAAGAGGGAAGAGCAGAAGACGGUACCUCUAGAAUAAGCCACGGCUAACUACGUGCCAGCAGCCGCGGUAAUACGUAGAUGGCAAGCGUUGUCCGGAUUUACUGGGUGUAAAGGGCGUGCAGCCGGGUCUGCAAGUCAGAUGUGAAAUCCAUGGGCUCAACCCAUGAACUGCAUUUGAAACUGUAGAUCUUGAGUGUCGGAGGGGCAAUCGGAAUUCCUAGUGUAGCGGUGAAAUGCGUAGAUAUUAGGAGGAACACCAGUGGCGAAGGCGGAUUGCUGGACGAUAACUGACGGUGAGGCGCGAAAGUGUGGGGAGCAAACAGGAUUAGAUACCCUGGUAGUCCACACUGUAAACGAUGAAUACUAGGUGUGCGGGGACUGACCCCCUGCGUGCCGCAGUAAACACAAUAAGUAUUCCACCUGGGGA
RNAcentral lists this ribosomal RNA (770 nucleotides) under uncultured bacterium. Its description in RNAcentral is "bacterial SSU rRNA". It matches the Rfam family "Bacterial small subunit ribosomal RNA", at positions 93 to 879 of the family's 1533-position model. The record is from RNAcentral.